Molecule: ribosomal RNA, 484 nt
Filed under: uncultured bacterium
Lineage: Bacteria
Description: partial 16S ribosomal RNA
Rfam family: Bacterial small subunit ribosomal RNA
Source: RNAcentral
GACGAACGCUGGCGGCGUGCUUAACACAUGCAAGUCGAACGAUGAAGCUAGAGCUUGCUCUGGUGGAUUAGUGGCGAACGGGUGAGUAACACGUGAGUAACCUGCCCCGAACUCUGGGAUAACUGCUGGAGACGGUAGCUAAUACCGGAUAUGACCAAUGAAGGCAUCUUCUGUUGGUGGAAAGAAUUUCGGUUCGGGAUGGACUCGCGGCCUAUCAGGUGGUUGGGGGGGUGACGGCUCACCAAGGCGACGAUGGGUAGCCGGCCUGGGAGGGUGAUCGGCACAACGGGCACGGAAACACGGCCCGGACUCCUACGGGGGGCGGAAGGGGGGAAUAUUGCACAAUGGGCGCAAGCCUGAUGCAGCACCGCCGCGUGAGGGACGACGGCCUCCGGGUUGUAAACCUCUUUUAGCAGGGAAGAAGCGAAAGUGACGGUACCUGCAGAAAAAGCACCGGCUAACUACGUGCCAGCCGCCGCCGUAA